CCGGCCUGCCCGGUGGCUUUUCUUGCUAAACGGCUGCAGUACUCUGACUGUGCAAAGGUAGCAUAAUCAAUUGCCUGUUAAUUGUAGGCUAGUAUCAACGGUUAGACGACAAAAGAACUGUCUCCUUCCUUUUAACUUGAACUUUUCUUAAAGGUGAGGAGACCUUUAAAAAUAAGUAGGACGAGAAGACCCUAUUGAGCUUUAGGUUAAAGCUUUAAGUUUAAUAAAGUUUAAUCUUUGGUUGGGGCAACCAUCUAUUUUAUUUGACAUAGAUGACCUUAGUUUGUAUUGAAGCUUUUUUUGACCCAUAAUAGUUUUGGAUUUUAGAAAAAGUUACCUUAGGGAUAACAGCGUAAUUUUUCUUAAUAGUCCAUAUUGCUAGAGAAGUUUGCGACCUCGAUGUUGGAUCAAGAUUACCUGGGGGUGCAGCAGCUUCCUGGGGUUGGUUUGUUCAACCAUUAAAAUCUUACGUGAUCUGAGUUCAGACCGGCA
This 492-nucleotide ribosomal RNA is filed under the name Ophiolepis cincta. Its description in RNAcentral is "partial 16S ribosomal RNA". It matches the Rfam family "Bacterial large subunit ribosomal RNA", at positions 1854 to 2621 of the family's 2925-position model. Lineage: Eukaryota; Metazoa; Echinodermata; Ophiuroidea; Amphilepidida; Ophiolepididae. The record is from RNAcentral.